This 74-nucleotide transfer RNA is filed under the name Stegodyphus mimosarum. It matches the Rfam family "tRNA". From Rfam's summary of the family: Transfer RNA (tRNA) molecules are approximately 80 nucleotides in length. Their secondary structure includes four short double-helical elements and three loops (D, anti-codon, and T loops). The record is from Rfam by way of RNAcentral. Lineage: Eukaryota; Metazoa; Arthropoda; Arachnida; Araneae; Eresidae.
GCCUUCGUGGUGUAAUUGGAAAGCACGUCCGGAUAUUAGUCGAAAGGUCCAGAUUUCGAAUCCUGGCGAGGGCC